This 444-nucleotide ribosomal RNA is filed under the name uncultured bacterium. RNAcentral's name for it is "partial 16S ribosomal RNA". It matches the Rfam family "Bacterial small subunit ribosomal RNA", at positions 331 to 792 of the family's 1533-position model. The record is from RNAcentral.
CCAGACUCCUACGGGAGGCAGCAGUGGGGAAUAUUGGACAAUGGGGGGAACCCUGAUCCAGCGACGCCGCGUGAGUGAAGAAGUAUUUCGGUAUGUAAAGCGCUAUCAGCAGGAAAGAAAAUGACGGUACCUGACUAAGAAGCCCCGGCUAACUACGUGCCAGCAGCCGCGGUAAUACGUAGGGGGCAAGCGUUAUCCGGAUUUACUGGGUGUAAAGGGAGCGUAGACGGCAGUGCAAGUCCGGAGUGAAAGCCCGGGGCUCAACCCUGGGACUGCUCUGGAAACUGUAAAGCUGGAGUGCGGGAGGGGCAGGCGGAAUUCCUGGUGUAGCGGUGAAAUGCGUAGAUAUCAGGAGGAACACCGGUGGCGAAGGCGGCCUGCUGGACUGCAACUGACGUUGAGGCCCGAAAGCGUGGGGAGCAAACAGGAUUAGAUACCCCUGUA